This 795-nucleotide ribosomal RNA is filed under the name Geosmithia putterillii. RNAcentral's name for it is "eukaryotic LSU rRNA". It matches the Rfam family "Eukaryotic large subunit ribosomal RNA", at positions 85 to 912 of the family's 3401-position model. Lineage: Eukaryota; Fungi; Ascomycota; Sordariomycetes; Hypocreales; Bionectriaceae. The record is from RNAcentral.
AACGGCGAAGUGAAGCGGCAACAGCUCAAAUUUGAAAUCUGGCCCCCAGGCCCGAGUUGUAAUUUGUAGAGGAUGCUUCUGGCGACGCGACUUCCGAGUUCCCUGGAACGGGACGCCAAAGAGGGUGAGAGCCCCGUCCGGUCGUUCGCCUAGCCUAUGUGAAGCUCCUUCGACGAGUCGAGUAGUUUGGGAAUGCUGCUCUAAAUGGGAGGUAUACGUCUUCUAAAGCUAAAUAUUGGCCAGAGACCGAUAGCGCACAAGUAGAGUGAUCGAAAGAUGAAAAGCACUUUGAAAAGAGGGUUAAAUAGUACGUGAAAUUGCUGAAAGGGAAGCGCUUAUGACCAGACUUGGGCUAGGUGAAUCAUCCGGCGUUCUCGCCGGUGCACUUUGCCUGUCCAGGCCAGCAUCAGUUCGCUUCGGGGGAUAAAGGCUUCGGGAAUGUAGCUCCUCCGGGAGUGUUAUAGACCGUUGUGUAAUACCCUGGGGUGGACUGAGGUACGCGUUCUGCAAGGAUGCUGGCGUAAUGGUCAUCAGUGACCCGUCUUGAAACACGGACCAAGGAGUCGUCUUCGUAUGCGAGUGUUCGGGUGUCAAACCCCUACGCGUAAUGAAAGUGAACGUAGGAGAGAGCUUCGGCGCAUCUCCGACCGAUCCUGAUGUUCUCGGAUGGAUUUGAGUAAGAGCAUACGGGGCCGGACCCGAAAGAAGGUGAACUAUGCCUGUAUAGGGUGAAGCCAGAGGAAACUCUGGUGGAGGCUCGCAGCGGUUCUGACGUGCAAAUCGAUCGUCAAAUAU